RNAcentral lists this microRNA (17 nucleotides) under Corchorus olitorius. Its description in RNAcentral is "hsa-miR-36". The record is from RNAcentral. Lineage: Eukaryota; Viridiplantae; Streptophyta; Magnoliopsida; Malvales; Malvaceae.
GGGGGGUGGGGGGGUGG